GGAUGUUCCAGGUUUACCAGGUCCACCAGGUCCACCAGGGUUAAAAGGAGAUCCAGGUUCAAAGGGAGAAAUGGGUCCAAUGGGUUUGCCAGGACUGGAAGGCUCCCCUGGAGAAAAGGGCGAUACAGGAAUGCCUGGGCCACCUGGUCUCCAAGGACCCAUUGGUCCACAGG
This is a long non-coding RNA of Pristis pectinata (smalltooth sawfish), 173 nucleotides long. RefSeq lists it as uncharacterized. Lineage: Eukaryota; Metazoa; Chordata; Chondrichthyes; Rhinopristiformes; Pristidae. The transcript has 4 exons. The record is from RefSeq and is a predicted model, not a curated record.